This 775-nucleotide ribosomal RNA is filed under the name uncultured Neocallimastigales. RNAcentral describes it as "partial large subunit ribosomal RNA". It matches the Rfam family "Eukaryotic large subunit ribosomal RNA", at positions 18 to 625 of the family's 3401-position model. Lineage: Eukaryota; Fungi; Neocallimastigomycota; Neocallimastigomycetes; Neocallimastigales. The record is from RNAcentral.
UCAGACGAUGCGUCAUGCAUAUCAAUAAGCGGAGGAAAAGAAACUAACAAGGAUUCCCUUAGUAACGGCGAGUGAAGCGGGAAGAGCUCAAAUUUGAAAUCUUAAAGGGUUUCCCUUUACGAAUUGUAGUUUAAAGAAGUGUUUUCUGUUAGAGCUUCGGUAAAAGUUCUUUGGAAUAGGACAUCAUAGAGGGUGAGAAUCCCGUAUUUGACCGUUAUUUCUAGCUUUGUGAUACACUUUCAAAGAGUCGGAUUGUUUGGGAAUGCAGUCCAAAAUGGGUGGUAAAUUUCAUCUAAAGCUAAAUAUUGGCGAGAGACCGAUAGCGAACAAGUACCGUGAGGGAAAGAUGAAAAGAACUUUGAAAAGAGAGUUAAACAGUACGUGAAAUUGUCAAAAGGGAAGCGUUUGACACCAGUGUUGUUUUCUCGAAAGUCAAUUAAAAAAGGCAGGAUUUUGUGUUGUAUUGACUUUAUCAGCUUUCUGCACUCUUUUCUUGUCUUUUUUUAAUGCACUUUUCGUUUAACAAGUCAACAUCAAUUUCUUUUGUUGUAAAAGGGUCAUUGGAAGGUGGCUUUCUUUUCGGAGAAAGUGUUUAUAGCCUUUGGCCUCUGCAAUCGGAGAGAUUGAGGUCUGCAGCGUAGAUCCUUCGGGGUUAGAUACAUUUGUGCUAAGUUAUAGCCUUUCAUAGACAACUUGUUGACUAUGAUCAGUCAUGUAGCUUACUCGCUUAUGCUAUUUUACCUACGCUUAGGAUGUUGAUCUACAGAGCGAGAGU